GAGCUUGCUCCCUGAUGUUAGCGGCGGACGGGUGUAGUAACACGUGGGUAACCUGCCUGUAAGACUGGGAUAACUCCGGGAAACCGGGGCUAAUACCGGAUGGUUGUUUGAACCGCAUGGUUCAGACAUAAAAGGUGGCUUCGGCUACCACUUACAGAUGGACCCGCGGCGCAUUAGCUAGUUGGUGAGGUAACGGCUCACCAAGGCGACGAUGCGUAGCCGACCUGAGAGGGUGAUCGGCCACACUGGGACUGAGACACGGCCCAGACUCCUACGGGAGGCAGCAGUAGGGAAUCUUCCGCAAUGGACGAAAGUCUGACGGAGCAACGCCGCGUGAGUGAUGAAGGUUUUCGGAUCGUAAAGCUCUGUUGUUAGGGAAGAACAAGUGCCGUUCAAAUAGGGCGGCACCUUGACGGUACCUAACCAGAAAGCCACGGCUAACUACGUGCCAGCAGCCGCGGUAAUACGUAGGUGGCAAGCGUUGUCCGGAAUUAUUGGGCGUAAAGGGCUCGCAGGCGGUUUCUUAAGUCUGAUGUGAAAGCCCCCGGCUCAACCGGGGAGGGUCAUUGGAAACUGGGGAACUUGAGUGCAGAAGAGGAGAGUGGAAUUCCACGUGUAGCGGUGAAAUGCGUAGAGAUGUGGAGGAACACCAGUGGCGAAGGCGACUCUCUGGUCUGUAACUGACGCUGAGGAGCGAAAGCGUGGGGAGCGAACAGGAUUAGAUACCCUGGUAGUCCACGCCGUAAACGAUGAGUGCUAAGUGUUAGGGGGUUUCCGCCCCUUAGUGCUGCAGCUAACGCAUUAAGCACUCCGCCUGGGGAGUACGGUCGCAAGACUGAAACUCAAAGGAAUUGACGGGGGCCCGCACAAGCGGUGGAGCAUGUGGUUUAAUUCGAAGCAACGCGAAGAACCUUACCAGGUCUUGACAUCCUCUGACAAUCCUAGAGAUAGGACGUCCCCUUCGGGGGCAGAGUGACAGGUGGUGCAUGGUUGUCGUCAGCUCGUGUCGUGAGAUGUUGGGUUAAGUCCCGCAACGAGCGCAACCCUUGAUCUUAGUUGCCAGCAUUCAGUUGGGCACUCUAAGGUGACUGCCGGUGACAAACCGGAGGAAGGUGGGGAUGACGUCAAAUCAUCAUGCCCCUUAUGACCUGGGCUACACACGUGCUACAAUGGACAG
This 1177-nucleotide ribosomal RNA is filed under the name Bacillus velezensis. RNAcentral describes it as "bacterial SSU rRNA". It matches the Rfam family "Bacterial small subunit ribosomal RNA", at positions 76 to 1237 of the family's 1533-position model. Lineage: Bacteria; Bacillati; Bacillota; Bacilli; Caryophanales; Bacillaceae. The record is from RNAcentral.